RNAcentral lists this ribosomal RNA (464 nucleotides) under uncultured bacterium. RNAcentral's name for it is "partial 16S ribosomal RNA". It matches the Rfam family "Bacterial small subunit ribosomal RNA", at positions 339 to 795 of the family's 1533-position model. The record is from RNAcentral.
CUACGGGCCGCAGCAGUGGGGAAUUUUGGACAAUGGGCGAAAGCCUGAUCCAGCCAUUCCGCGUGAGUGAUGAAGGCCUUCGGGUUGUAAAGCUCUUUCGGCCGGGAAGAAAUCGUGCAGGCUAAUAUCCUGCAUGGAUGACGGUACCGGAUCAAGAAGCACCGGCUAACUACGUGCCAGCAGCCGCGGUAAUACGUAGGGUGCGAGCGUUAAUCGGAAUUACUGGGCGUAAAGCGUGCGCAGGCGGAUGUUUAAGCCAGAUGUGAAAUCCCCGGGCUUAACCUGGGAAUGGCAUUUGGAACUGGACAUCUAGAGUGUGUCAGAGGGGGGUGGAAUUCCACGUGUAGCAGUGAAAUGCGUAGAGAUGUGGAGGAACACCGAUGGCGAAGGCAGCCCCCUGGGAUAACACUGACGCUCAUGCACGAAAGCGUGGGGAGCAAACAGGAUUAGAUACCCCAGUAGUC